RNAcentral lists this ribosomal RNA (460 nucleotides) under uncultured bacterium. RNAcentral describes it as "partial 16S ribosomal RNA". It matches the Rfam family "Bacterial small subunit ribosomal RNA", at positions 338 to 795 of the family's 1533-position model. The record is from RNAcentral.
CCUACGGGUGGCAGCAGUGAGGAAUAUUGGUCAAUGGACGAGAGUCUGAACCAGCCAAGUAGCGUGAAGGAUGACUGCCCUAUGGGUUGUACACUUCUUUUAUAAAGGAAUAAAACGAGGCACGUGUGCCUUUUUGCAUGUACUUUAUGAAUAAGGAUCGUCUAACUCCGUGCCAGCAGCCGCGGUAAUACGGAGGAUCCGAGCGUUAUCCGGAUUUAUUGGGUUUAAAGGGAGCGUAGAUGGGUUGUUAAGUCAGUUGUGAAAGUUUGCGGCUCAACCGUAAAAUUGCAAUUGAUACUGGCAGUCUUGAGUACAGUUGAGGUAGGCGGAAUUCGUGGUGUAGCGGUGAAAUGCUUAGAUAUCACGAAGAACCCCGAUUGCGAAGGCAGCUCACUAAACUGUGACUGACAUUGAUGCUCGAAAGUGUGGGUAUCAAACAGGAUUAGAUACCCGGGUAGUC